Long non-coding RNA from Amphiprion ocellaris (clown anemonefish), 3892 nucleotides. RefSeq lists it as uncharacterized. Lineage: Eukaryota; Metazoa; Chordata; Actinopteri; Pomacentridae. The record is from RefSeq and is a predicted model, not a curated record. The transcript has 2 exons.
AGAGCAGCAGCAUUCAUUCAGACAGAGCUGUCAGAGGGAAUGGAAAGUACAACACACAGGUCAAAACUGCAUCGUCACUUAAAGACUCAUCCACAUUAGGACAGUUUCAGGGUCAAUACUGACUGGAUCACUCAAUAAAAAAACCAUCAAUUCCUCCCCCAGAACCUCUUCAGAACAUCUGGUUCUUCAUCUCCAGUAACUUUAUCAAUGAUCAGAGUUCUACCCUCAUACUGGGAAUAUUUCCAGAGUUUCAGGUCCUUCAAGUCCAUAGAGGAGAACAUCCCCUGGAGAAAGUUCUAGAGUAGACCUACUGACAAUUGGACAGUUGUUAGUAGAGCUACUCUAGAACUUUCUCCAGUUGUCGGUAGGUCUACUCUAGAACUUUCUCCAGUUGUCGGUAGGUCUACUCUAGAACUUUCUCCAGUUGUCAGUAGGUCUACUCUAGAACUUUCUACAGCUGGCGGUAGGUCUACUCUAGAACUUUCUCCAGUUGUCGGUAGGUCUACUCUAGAACUUUCUCCAGUUGUCAGUAGGUCUACUCUAGAACUUUCUACAGCUGGCGGUAGGUCUACUGUAGAACUUUCUACAGUUGUCGGUAGGUCUACUCUAGAACUUUCUCCAGUUGUCCGUAGGUCUACUCUAGAACUUUCUACAGCUGGCGGUAGGUCUACUGUAGAACUUUCUACAGUUGUCGGUAGGUCUACUCUAGAACUUUCUACAGUUGUCGGUUGUUCUCCUUUCCUGCUUCUAGUCUUGAAGUUUAGUCUCACUCAGAACAUUCCAGGUCCUUGAAGUCCAUAGAGGUGGGUCCAGAUUUAUCACUUUUUAAUGGACUUUUUCCAUCAUUUCUGAGCCUCAGAACUUCAUCAGUCCAGCAGACAGAACCAUGACAUUUAGGAGGAACUGACACUAAAAUAACUAAAAAAGCUGGAAAAUUACCACAAAAAUGGCCAAAGUUACCACAAUAAAACACAAAAUCACCCGAAAAUCACCAAAAAGAGCCAGAACCACCUUGAAAAAUUAAAAAAUGCUGGCAAAAACACCCUAAAAUCACCACAAAAAGGACCAAAAUGACCACUAAACAGGUGAAAUUGCUAAAAAACUCAACUUCAGCACAAAACACUUGCAAAAUUGAGCCCAAAAAGAGCACAAUUACCCUGAAAUGUUCAAAUAUGCCAGCAUAAAAAUGGAAGAUCACCACAAAAAUGACCAAAUUUCCCAUUGAAGGUCCAAAAUUACUACAAAAUGGGUGAAACUAUAACAAAAACUCAAAUUCAGCACCAAAAAAUCAACUAAACACAUCCGAGUUCUGGUAAAAAACUGACACCAGAUCAGUUUAAAUCCAUCCAGGUGUCUCAGUCUGUUCGUCUGUCUCUAUCAUCAGUAUUAUGGGAUGUAUCCUAGUGAUCAUCAGUAUUAUGGGAUGUAUCCUAGUGAUCAUUAGUAUUAAGGGAUGUAUCCUAGUGUGAUCUGUUUAGAGUCCUAGAAACAAUCAUUAGUUCCCUGGAUGUUUUUCUGGUUUCUGAUUUUUCACCAGAGAAACCUUAAAAAGUCAUUCUUUGUAAACUGUAAGGUUCAUACUAACCAACAUCACCUGGAGGAUGUAGACCAUAAUAACCAGAGAUAAUAAAUAAAACAACUGGAAUUAAAUUACAGCACAUCUGUACCUAAAAAAGCUAAAUGUAGAAUAAUAGAGGGUUAAAACGUCGGUUCACUGAUCUGAUCUGGACUCUGGAUGAGAAGAAGCAGUGAACUAGUUUUAAUUCUGUUAAUAACAGAUCAGAUCUAAUGAAGUGUCUGGAUGGUGACGCUGAGCUCAUCUCCAACCAGAAUGAAGGAUUGUGAUGCUGGAGGCUGUAAGUGAUCAUCUCCACCUCCAUGCUGCCCCCUCUGGGCCUCCUGUGGGGGGGUUGGUCCAUGCUUCAGGCCGUCCAUCACUCUCCUCCCUCAGCUCCGUCUUGCAUAAGUGGCCUCUCGGCUUGCUGCUUCGGUUAUCUGAUCGCUCGCUGUGUAUUUUCGUCUUCUCUCUAGAAACCAGCUGCUGGUUGUGAAACAGAUGAAGAGUCACUGGGAGGUUCAGCUGAAACUGCUGCCUCAGCUCCACGGAGGAGGUUAGAGAAGCUUCUGCAAACAUCCAUCCAUCCACCAGGAGAUGCUGUGACCUCUGACCUUCACUCUGUCAUCUAGAGAUCCUUAGAUCCCAGUGGAACCACCACAGAACCACAGAACCUCCUCAAUGACAGCAGCACGAGAACCACCCAUAAGACCUCUGUAGUCUUCUCAGAGGACCAAAUCUGUAGAAGACCUCCAGAACCUCUUCACUGACCAAAGGAGCCUCCUAAAGGAACGCUACAGCCACCGAAAAGAAACGUGUUACAGAACCUCCAGAACCAACCAACAUAAAGCUCUCCACAGCUUCAUCAAUCAUCUAAGGAACCUCCCAAAGGACCAAUAGAAGUUCCACAGCUUCCUCAGUUACACGAGAACAUUCUAAAUGACACCAAUGUCUUCUUCUCCCUCAGACUGGCUCACUGCUCAGUAGAACCUCCAGAAGGACUUUCAGAACAUCCCCAGUGACCUAAAGCCCCCCCACAAUCUCCUCAUCUCCCUGCAAUGCCCUCAACGAUCUCCACAGCUGUCUCCAUCUUCACUAGAACCUCUAGAACAUCUCCAGUGUCUCGAAGAACAUCCUAAAGACCUCUACAGAUUCCUCAAAGACCCUGCAACCACCUAAAGAAACAGUGGAACCAUCUAGAACCAUCAACAACCCAAGUAGUGAUCACGGUAGCAUCCUAAAAGACCUCCAGAACCUCAGUGACUACAGGAACAUUGUAAACGAAGACUAGAACACCUAUAGACUGUCAAAAAAAUAACUCAGUUACCAACAUAAUCUGCUAAGAGACCUCCAGAACCUCCUGACAUACUACAGGAACUCAAAAAUGACAGCUAGAACCACCUAAAGAUGACUAAAUAACCAAUCACUGACCGCUGAAAGCUCCUGAAAGACCUCCAGAACCUCCUCAGUGGUGACGGACUAAAUGAAUGCUUCCACAGACGGUUAGUUCAGGAGAAACUGAAGCUCUAAAUGCAAAGAAUCAAACAGAAAGCAGCAGAAAGUGUUUUCAGAUGGAGUCAGAGAGGAACCGAUGCGGUUCUUCAGGAUGAUGAUGUCAUGAACAUUCUGUUGGUGAAAGAACAUCGCCUCCUGCAGGCCACAGAGAACAUCUCAGUCCUUCAGGAGGAGCAGAUCUCACUUUAUCUUUCAUUUCAACAUGAACCCUGAGGAGCACCACCAUCACUCAGACUGACGUUACCAUGACGACGAGGACCAGCAAGGAAGGACGGAAGGAAGGAAGGAUGGAUGGAAGGAAGGAAGGAUGGAUGAUGGAAGGAAGGAAGGAUGGAUCAUGGAAGGAAGGAAGGAAGGAAGAAUGGAUGAUGGAAGGAAGGAAGGUAGAAAAGAAGGAAGGAAAGAAGAUAGGAAGGAAGCAAGAGAGGAAGGAAACAAGAGAGGAAGGAAGAUAAGAAGGAAGAUAAGAAGGAAGGAUGGAAGAGAGGAAACAAGGAAAGAAGAGAGAAGGAAGGAAGAAAGGAAGAGAGGAAGAUAGGAUGGAAGGAAGGAAGGAAGGAAGGAAGGAAGGAAGAAUGAAGGAAGGAUGGAAAGAAGAUAGGAAGGAAGGAAGGAAGAGAGGAAGGAAGGAAGGAAGGAAGGAAGGAAGAGAGGAAGAGAGGAAGGAACAGCCCAAUGGGUGACCAAAGAGCUGAAAGUUAAAAACCACUGAAAGACAUGACGGAGCUGCAGAGAUGGAAGAACUUUGACAGUUUUCGCUCCAACCAUUCCAGACUUCUUCAGGAGACUAGAGACGUUAUUUUAAUAAACCUUUUAAUGAUU